UAGGGAAUCUUCGGCAAUGGACGAAAGUCUGACCGAGCAACGCCGCGUGAGUGAAGAAGGUUUUCGGAUCGUAAAACUCUGUUGUUAGAGAAGAACAAGGACGUCAGUAACUGAACGUCCCCUGACGGUACCUAACCAGAAAGCCACGGCUAACUACGUGCCAGCAGCCGCGGUAAUACGUAGGUGGCAAGCGUUGUCCGGAUUUAUUGGGCGUAAAGCGAGCGCAGGCGGUUUCUUAAGUCUGAUGUGAAAGCCCCCGGCUCAACCGGGGAGGGUCAUUGGAAACUGGGAGACUUGAGUGCAGAAGAGGAGAGUGGAAUUCCAUGUGUAGCGGUGAAAUGCGUAGAUAUAUGGAGAAACACCAGUGGCGAAGGCGGCUCUCUGGUCUGUAACUGACGCUGAGGCUCGAAAGCGUGGGGAGCAAACAGG
This 429-nucleotide ribosomal RNA is filed under the name Gemmatimonadota bacterium. RNAcentral describes it as "Gemmatimonadetes bacterium partial 16S ribosomal RNA". It matches the Rfam family "Bacterial small subunit ribosomal RNA", at positions 355 to 776 of the family's 1533-position model. Lineage: Bacteria; Pseudomonadati; Gemmatimonadota. The record is from RNAcentral.